Molecule: ribosomal RNA, 305 nt
Filed under: uncultured bacterium
Lineage: Bacteria
Description: bacterial SSU rRNA
Rfam family: Bacterial small subunit ribosomal RNA
Source: RNAcentral
GUGCGCCUACGGGACGCAGCAGUAGGGAAUAUUGCUCAAUGGGGGAAACCCUGAUGCAGCGACGCCGCGUGGGUGAAGAAACGCCUCGGCGCGUAAAGCCCUGUCAGCAGGGAAGAAAAUGACGGUACCUGAAGAAGAAGCCCCGGCUAACUACGUGCCAGCAGCCGCGGUAAUACGUAGGUGGCGAGCGUUAUCCGGAAUGAUUGGGCGUAAAGGGUGCGCAGGCGGUCCUGCAAGUCUGGAGUGAAACGCAUGAGCUCAACUCAUGCAUGGCUUUGGAAACUGGAGGACUGGAGGGCAGGAGG